Molecule: long non-coding RNA, 1200 nt
Organism: Bradysia coprophila
Lineage: Eukaryota; Metazoa; Arthropoda; Insecta; Diptera; Sciaridae
Source: RefSeq, a predicted model, not a curated record
CUGAGCCAGAAGAUCGUAAUAUUCGGUGUUUUAUAUCGAAAAAACAAGAUAAUGAUUCCGUGAAUGCGUAAUAUUGCCAAAUUAAAAGCGCACUUGUUCCAACAAUGAUGCCUUAAACUUGUUCUGUGCUUGAGGAUUGGCAGAAGCAUUUUUUGCAUUGGUCAGCCAAUUGAAGCCGCAGGACGAGAAGCAAAAGAAAACGUUUUCGGGCAAUUGCCAAUUUUCUCAGCUAUUCCAUAAGUCACGAAGCAGUCUAACGGUCUAAAGUAGAAAAAUUACCACAACUACUCUAUGUCACACUUAAUCACCCUCUGCCUCAUUUGCGUUUAAAAUUUGAAAUUAAAAUUUUUUCUCGUGAGUGUCUGUUGUGAAACUGAAAUUUUAUUCGAGUUUUGAUAAAUAUUCGAGUAACGAAAUAAUUGAUUCGUCUACUUGUACAUGCAGUUACGCACAUAAGUUCGCAUAAUUAGAAUAAUUUGUGUUAAUCUGAUGUAUACGUUAUUCUUUAACAUAAGCCACAAGCGCGGAGCAUAGAAGACGUGUAACGUUUUCGGUUAUUUCUACAUAGAUGACAUGGGUUUUCGAACCGGUACAUCAUUGAAAUAAUCAGAUGCUCAAGAAUAGUGUAUUACAUUCGAUGCUGCGAAAGUAAUUCAUUACAUGAGGUAACAGUUUUGUCAUAAAAGCACACAUUGUGUGCUUUCUGAGCAACAAGCUUCGGCAACUGUAGAUAUUUUCGGCAAGUAUAGCCAACAAAUCUUGCCCCAUACGAAAGUUGGUUAUCACAACGGAAUUCACGUAAAAUAAAUCGAAAAUAUUCCUUUAUGCAGGGUACAAACUACCAUGUAAUGGACGACUUUCGCUCUGGGGCAUGCAAUAAAAUUAUUUUUGAAUUGUUGGAAUUUUGCAGACUGACCCGAAGGCAGGUAUGUUCACCUGGUCUAAAAUGCGUUUUCCCGGUCUUUGGUGAUGUGAGUAUAGUAAUAGUACUCAGGUUAAUGAAUAGGAAAGAAAUUGUGAUUGUGUGAGAAAAUGACUUCCGUUUGACUCAUCAGUAACGACAUCUCCAGUGAAUGUAAAGGCGUUACGGUUGUAAAUUUAAAUAGCAUCAAGAUUUGCUUUAGCUCCUUGCUGGUUAUUUCUAAUAAAAGAACGGGAAUCGAAUUUUUUUAGAUAAUUUAUUCCUAAUUCGAUGUUCAC